AACGAACGCUGGCGGCAGGCCUAACACAUGCAAGUCGAACGCCGUAGCAAUACGGAGUGGCAGACGGGUGAGUAACACGUGGGAACGUACCCUUCGGUUCGGGAUAACUCAGGGAAACUUGAGCUAAUACCGGAUACGUCCGAGAGGAGAAAGAUUUAUCGCCGAGGGAUCGGCCCGCGUCUGAUUAGCUUGUUGGUGAGGUAACGGCUCACCAAGGCGACGAUCAGUAGCUGGUCNGAGAGGAUGAUCAGCCACAUUGGGACUGAGACACGGCCCAAACUCCUACGGGAGGCAGCAGUGGGGAAUAUUGGACAAUGGGCGCAAGCCUGAUCCAGCCAUGCCGCGUGAGUGAUGAAGGCCCUAGGGUUGUAAAGCUCUUUUGUGCGGGAAGAUAAUGACGGUACCGCAAGAAUAAGCCCCGCUAACUUCGUGCCAGCAGCCGCUGUAAG
This 449-nucleotide ribosomal RNA is filed under the name uncultured bacterium. RNAcentral's name for it is "bacterial SSU rRNA". It matches the Rfam family "Bacterial small subunit ribosomal RNA", at positions 29 to 524 of the family's 1533-position model. The record is from RNAcentral.